UCUCUGAAAUCAAUAAGAAUAUACUUAAAAAUAUAUUAAAAAGUAAAUAAAGAGAACACGGCCUUAGCUCGCUCCCUUCUCAUUCAGCGUUUCCUGCUCCUGGGGGAUUUUCCCGGGUUGAUUGGCGGGAGCAGCUUUACCCUGAGCCCCACAUCAGGGGUGCCGCCUCCCACCGAAAGCAAGAAAGCGUCAGGCUUUAAAAAUAGCUCAUCGCCAGCUUUCCUUCACUGAGGGCGCAGGCUGGCAUUCCCCUCAGGUAUUCCACAUGAGCAAGAUCGGGCGGGCGGGAGGGCCAGAGGGAGUGAGUCACCCACUUGGCAGGUGAGGUCAUGGUGGGGUGACCGUCUGCACAGAGCAGCUCCCGCCUCCCACGCCUCCCCCUCCCGGGGCAGCCGGGUCACCGCCGGCUGAGCUGCAAGUCUAGCAGCUUUGGUGCGAUGUUCAGUGGGAGACAUUCCUCUUUAUGACUCAGUGACUCGACAUCCCAACAGAUGGGCUCCUGAGGCCUCAGGGGACCGAAGCCGGCGCUGGGGUCGGACCCCGGGCUGCCAGGGCAGGGUCCGCAGCCCUGGGAAGGGCGGGCGGGGGCGCGCGUCCCGUCCGCUGGAAUGCUAGCUAUCUGGGACGUGGUGGGAUGGACCUGCGAGGCUUGCCGGCCCUGGUUCAGACACCCCAAGAGAGUGGCACCCGGAAGCCGGCGGUAAAUAUUUGCCGAAUGGCUCCCGCUCUGCAGGAGGCAGCGGCCAGCACACGUCCCCAGCGCCGCCGAGACAGACACGCAGCCUUGCUGGGCGUUCACAGCGCUGGCAAGUUCUCGCGGGGCCGCCGGAAACGGCCCGGGGCGUAUUUUCGUGGCACUGACACAGGUUUCACGUGGACAGCUCUGGUUGGCACAAAGCACCCUAGUGUUUACGCAGAAAUACCGCACAGGCUGGGAAAGAAAUGCUGUUUCCAGGAUGAAAGGGAAGGGUUGCUGGGAGGCAAAAAGCAAUAGGUGUCCACUCCCUGCGCAGAAAUGCGAGCCUGCCGGAGGAGGGCUGCGGGUCAGGCGGUGGGAGCUGGUUUGCCUGUGAGUCAGCCUGCGGGGGGAGGGGGGAGGGUGGGCGCUGGGCCUCCGGCCUCAGCCAGUCCGAGUGGACUCGGCUCUGCUCGCGCUGCAUGGCCUCCAGCGACUCAUUGCCAAGGAGUCUUGCUAACAGGGCCCGGUGCCGGGUGCGAGCGAUGGGGCACUGCGGUCACCGUGCUGCUAGACAGCUCUGCGAGGGCUUUUAGCUGUAAGCGACCGGCUCAGAGGAGGCCGCUGAGGACAGAGGGACUCAGUGACCUGCCCAGGGUCACUGCGCAGGAAGCGGUCUUCAGCCCACGGCCUCUGACCUCCCCAUGGCUGUGUUCACCCUCAUAAAUACCAGUGUCUCCCCCAGAGGUGCCACAGCAGGGACCCCGAUGCAGCAUCUGGCUGUUCCCCAGGAAGGGGCUGCAGGAGAACGGGUUCACCCUCCCUGAGGCUUCUGGGCCAGGCACCCAUCCCUGCCUGACCCAUCCCCCUGCCCCCAUCCCCCCUGCCCUAUCCCUGCCCCAUCCCUGCAUGCACGUGUACCGUUGGUUUCACCUGAACCCCACUGU
Myotis lucifugus (little brown bat) is the source of this 1623-nucleotide long non-coding RNA. RefSeq lists it as uncharacterized. The record is from RefSeq and is a predicted model, not a curated record. NCBI's taxonomy places the organism in Eukaryota, Metazoa, Chordata, Mammalia, Chiroptera, Vespertilionidae. The transcript has 2 exons.